Molecule: long non-coding RNA, 685 nt
Organism: Raphanus sativus (radish)
Lineage: Eukaryota; Viridiplantae; Streptophyta; Magnoliopsida; Brassicales; Brassicaceae
Exons: 2
Source: RefSeq, a predicted model, not a curated record
UUUAUUAGAUCCUAUCAAAAGCCCCAAACCAUGAAACCCUAAUUAUCGAGAGAUGAAGAACAGAAUCCUCAGAAUCAUCUAAUAUAUGGUUUUUGGGAUUUUUUGACACAUAUUGCAAGAUAUCAAAAGAUCAGAGAGAGAUUUUGUAGUUUGUGGUUCAGUUUCGGGUUUGUGAGGCUUUUAGUCUAAGAGUGUUGAAGCUUAUUUUAAAACAGAAACGUGAGAGAGACAUAUAGACAGAGGGAGAAAGAGAGACAGAGACAGAGAGAGAUUAAGUGUGACAGGAGCUUCUUAGAUGACGAGGACACUUUACAUUCGGUUACAUGCUGGAGGGUAUUGGGCGGCUGAUGGAUCGUAUAAUGGUGGGGAAACAAGAUGCUGCAGAGUUGAUUUUGAAAACCAAAAUUUGAAGAUGUUGCUAGAUAUAUUGUCGAGCGGUGGAUUUUCAGAGAAUAUGAGUAAGCUCUCCUACUUCCCAAGUUCCCAUCCGGUGUUGUUAAUCAGGACAAGAAGGAUUUAUGCUCUGAUAUUGAUGUUGCGGAGAUGUUAACCAUCUCUACUUUGUAAUUUCAAGUCUUUAUAGAACCAUCUCUACUUUGUAAUUUCAUGUCGAAACUCUAUUUUCAUGUACGUGUGUAUUCUAGUGACUUACUGACACUGUCACCAAAACGACAGCAACAACCUC